This 802-nucleotide ribosomal RNA is filed under the name uncultured bacterium. Its description in RNAcentral is "bacterial SSU rRNA". It matches the Rfam family "Bacterial small subunit ribosomal RNA", at positions 8 to 839 of the family's 1533-position model. The record is from RNAcentral.
AGAGUUUGAUCCUGGCUCAGGAUGAACGCUGGCGGCGUGCCUAACACAUGCAAGUCGAGCGAUUCUCUUCGGAGAAGAGCGGCGGACGGGUGAGUAACGCGUGGGUAACCUGCCCUGUACACACGGAUAACAUACCGAAAGGUAUGCUAAUACGAGAUAAUAUGCUUUUAUCGCAUGGUAGAAGUAUCAAAGCUUUUGCGGUACAGGAUGGACCCGCGUCUGAUUAGCUAGUUGGUAAGGUAACGGCUUACCAAGGCGACGAUCAGUAGCCGACCUGAGAGGGUGAUCGGCCACAUUGGAACUGAGACACGGUCCAAACUCCUACGGGAGGCAGCAGUGGGGAAUAUUGCACAAUGGGCGAAAGCCUGAUGCAGCAACGCCGCGUGAGCGAUGAAGGCCUUCGGGUCGUAAAGCUCUGUCCUCAAGGAAGAUAAUGACGGUACUUGAGGAGGAAGCCCCGGCUAAGUACGUGCCAGCAGCCGCGGUAAUACGUAGGGGGCUAGCGUUAUCCGGAAUUACUGGGCGUAAAGGGUGCGUAGGUGGUUUCUUAAGUCAGAGGUGAAAGGCUACGGCUCAACCGUAGUAAGCCUUUGAAACUGGGAAACUUGAGUGCAGGAGAGGAGAGUGGAAUUCCUAGUGUAGCGGUGAAAUGCGUAGAUAUUAGGAGGAACACCAGUUGCGAAGGCGGCUCUCUGGACUGUAACUGACACUGAGGCACGAAAGCGUGGGGAGCAAACAGGAUUAGAUACCCUGGUAGUCCACGCCGUAAACGAUGAGUACUAGCUGUCGGAGGUUACCCCCU